GGCUAAGUCCAAGAAUCUAUGGCCAUAGUAGUGUGAUUGAUGGAAAGGAGUUUCCAUAGAAGUCACAACUAGAUUUGAGCUAAUCGAAUCUAUCAUAUGACCAAUGUUGAGGUUUGACGAUUUAUCCAUGACCUGCCAUCAAGUCGAAACUCACAAUAGAGCGACUGAAUCAUAUGUUAACUAUACCUAGAGAUUCAUUUCAGUUUUACUGGGUUGUCACUAUAUAUGUUGUUAUCACUGACGGAUUAUGAGAGCUCAC
RNAcentral lists this long non-coding RNA (259 nucleotides) under Elaeis guineensis (African oil palm). RNAcentral describes it as "long non-coding RNA (EGUI_LNC003644)". Lineage: Eukaryota; Viridiplantae; Streptophyta; Magnoliopsida; Arecales; Arecaceae. The record is from RNAcentral.